UUAAAAAGCUCGUAGUCGGAUUUUGGCUGAGAACGGUGCGGUCCGCCGUUAGGUGUGCACUGACUGGUCUCAGGCUUCCUGGUGAGGAGGUGUGCUUCAUCGCCACUUAGUCACCGUGGUUACUUUGAAAAAAUUAGAGUGUUCAAAGCGGGCUUACGCUUGAAUAUAUUAGCAUGGAAUAACACCAUAGGACUCCUGUCCUAUUUCGUUGGUCUCGGGACGGGAGUAAUGAUUAAGAGGAACAGUUGGGGGCAUUCGUAUUUCAUUGUCAGAGGUGAAAUUCUUGGAUUUAUGAAAGACGAACUUCUGCGAAAGCAUUUGCCAAGGAUGUUUUCAUUGAUCAAGAACGAAAGUUGGGGGCUCGAAGAUGAUUAGAUACCAUCCUAGUCUCAACCAUAAACGAUGCCGACUAGGGAUUGGCGGAUGUUAAUUGAUGACUUCGCCAGCACCUUAUGAGAAAUCAAAGUUUUUGGGUUCCGGGGGGAGUAUGGUCGCAAAGCUGAAACUUAAAAGGAAUUGACGGAAGGGCCCCACCAGGCGUGGAGCCUGCGGCU
RNAcentral lists this ribosomal RNA (554 nucleotides) under uncultured marine eukaryote. Its description in RNAcentral is "SSU rRNA". It matches the Rfam family "Eukaryotic small subunit ribosomal RNA", at positions 619 to 1190 of the family's 1831-position model. The record is from RNAcentral.